GUACCCCACGCGGGCCAGACGCCCGCGUCCGGCGCGGAAGGCCUCCCUGGACUCUUUGAACCCCCUGGCGGCGCGGCUUCUGAAAACCUUGAAGCGUCCGCCGCGGGAGGCCGGCCUCUUGAGGUCCCGAAGGUCCGUGAACUUGAGGAAGUGCACGGCUCCGGACUCGUCAUGGGGCUGCUGCGCGACAUUCUCCAGGGUCAGCUUCCCAUCCGGCACGACGCAGACGGCUUCCUCGUCGGGCCGCUGGACCCACAGGCUGCAAGCCCUGACGUAAGGCUCGACGUCCAUCGGGUAGAAUCGGUUCCC
This 309-nucleotide unclassified non-coding RNA is filed under the name plant metagenome. Its description in RNAcentral is "partial contains 5.8S ribosomal RNA, internal transcribed spacer 2, and large subunit ribosomal RNA". The record is from RNAcentral.